CGGAGGCUCCGCGCGUGAACUCCACAACGUUGGGCGGCCGCCUCGUGCCGGGCUCGUGCCGCCGGGUUCGGGGAACGCUACUCACGUGCUUCAGCCACAGCCCCAGCUAGAAAUGAGCUAAAGCAUCAAAGGCCAGAUCACAGCCCAUGUUCCCCAAAAUUCAGUGUCUAAACCAGAAGAGUUUGGAAACGGCUGAUCUCUAGAGGCAGUGAAGAGCCAUUGUAUCCAGAAAUACAGCUGGACGCGGAGUUCUGUUCGUACCAAUCCAUGGGGACACGGGCUGACUUCUCGCAGCGGCGGUGG
Long non-coding RNA from Lagopus leucura (white-tailed ptarmigan), 303 nucleotides. RefSeq lists it as uncharacterized. Lineage: Eukaryota; Metazoa; Chordata; Aves; Galliformes; Phasianidae. The transcript is spliced from 3 exons. The record is from RefSeq and is a predicted model, not a curated record.